AUUGAACGCUGGCGGCAGGCCUAACACAUGCAAGUCGAGCGGAUGAAGGGAGCUUGCUCCUGGAUUCAGCGGCGGACGGGUGAGUAAUGCCUAGGAAUCUGCCUGGUAGUGGGGGAUAACGUCCGGAAACGGGCGCUAAUACCGCAUACGUCCUGAGGGAGAAAUUGGGGGAUCUUCGGACCUCACGCUAUCAGAUGAGCCUAGGUCGGAUUAGCUAGUUGGUGGGGUAAAGGCCUACCGAGGCGACGAUCCGUAACUGGUCUGAGAGGAUGAUCAGUCACACUGGAACUGAGACACGGUCCAGACUCCUACGGGAGGCAGCAGUGGGGAAUAUUGGACAAUGGGCGAAAGCCUGAUCCAGCCAUGCCGCGUGUGUGAAGAAGGUCUUCGGAUUGUAAAGCACUUUAAGUUGGGAGGAAGGGCAGAAAGUUAAUACCUUGCUGUUUUGACGUUACCAACAGAAUAAGCACCGGCUAACUUCGUG
Molecule: ribosomal RNA, 484 nt
Filed under: uncultured bacterium
Lineage: Bacteria
Description: partial 16S ribosomal RNA
Rfam family: Bacterial small subunit ribosomal RNA
Source: RNAcentral